Molecule: ribosomal RNA, 577 nt
Filed under: uncultured organism
Description: bacterial SSU rRNA
Rfam family: Bacterial small subunit ribosomal RNA
Source: RNAcentral
UGUGUGUCGUAGUUAACGCGUUAAACAGGGCGCCUGGGAAGUACGGCCGCAAGGCUAAAACCCAAAGGAAUUGACGGGGACCCGCACAAGCAGUGGAGCGCCUGGUUUAAUUCGAUGGUCAGCGAAGAACCUCACCUAGGCUUGAACUGUAGCUGCACACUCCCAGAAACGGGAGAAUCCUUCGAGGGUGCUACAGAGGUGCUGCAUGGCUGUCGUCAGCUCGUGUCGUGAGAUGUAGGGUUAAGUCCCACAACGAGCGCAACCCCUAUUCAGUGUUAUAAUUACUCUGAAGACUGCCCUGUCCAAACGGGGAGGAAGGAGGGGACGACGUCCAGUCAUCAUGUCCCUUAUGUCUAGGGCUACACAGACGCUACAAUGGCCGGUACAAUGGGUUGCCAAACCGCGAGGUGGAGCCAAUCCCAUCAAAGCCGGUCCCAGUUCGGAUUGCAGUCUGCAACUCGACUGCAUGAAGUUGGAAUUGCUAGUAAUCGCGAAUCAGCACGUCGCGGUGAAUACGUUCUCGGGUCUUGUACACACCGCCCGUCAGGGCACGGGAGUCGCUCUUGCUCGAAGUUCC